GCCCCCCCCCCGCCCCGCCCGCCCCCCCAGCCGAGCACCGGGGAGGCCGCUCCCCGCGCCCUGGGCCUCUCGGCCUCCGCCGCGCCUCCCGGGCGGGGGCCUUGGGCAGGCGCCGCCGUCUCCCGCUAGAGGGACCCGGGCUGCCUCCGCGGCCGUGUCGCCCCAGCGGACGGCGAGCGCCUCCGGAGCCGGGACGGCGUCCUCGUCACUUGGGUCUGGCACGUAGUGGGGCCUAGCGAGGGGCUGCACAUGGAGGGACGCCGCGGUGGCGCGGGCCAGGCGCUCAGCGGGUGCGCCCCAAGGGUCUGCGGGCCGCGGGGACUUGCUGGCGGGCCUGGAGGCGGGGGGCAGGCUGACGCGUCGCCUCUGGGAGAACCGGGAGACCCGCGGCGAGCAGAGUUGAGGACCGGCCAGCGGGGCGUCCCGGGGCUAGACCUGGGAGACGUCCGAGUGACUGGGGGAGCCCCGGCCGCGCAAGCUUGAGAUACAGAUUGAACUUCAGACAAGGCCGGACUACCCUGUAAACCAGAGACAACUUUUCAUUUGAAUGAACAGAAUCACAGACUACAAUGAAAGGGGAAAAAAAUGUAUCUUGACUAUGACAGUCCAUAGAAGCUGUCUUACUCACCACUGUUGGAGUAUCAUAGAGACAAUCUCCUGUGCUGCCUCCCACUGGCUGAACCCAAGAGGAAGCCUAAGGGCAAGUGAGCCCUGAUGACGUUGUCCUUCAAGGCCAGCCUCCGGAAAAUGAUGGAGGGUAGAUCUGGAAGGACAAAGGCACAAUAUCUAGCAGUGAGCAUUGUGAUAGGGGAAGUAUGAGGACCUGAGUGGCCGCCUGGGAGAAUAAUGGACUCCAUCUCCGGAGAUAAGGGAAGGCUUCAGGGGUGGAGGAAGGAAGGAAGAUUGAAGGAACAACAGAUCAUUCGCUCUGAUGGAAGCCAGCUGCCAUGUUGCAAGCUGCCCUAAAGAGAGGUCCCCAUGGCAUGAAGCUGAGGGAGAUCUCAAGUCAACAGCCAGCUAGGAACUGGGGCUUCAAUCCAAUAACCCAAGAACAAUUGAGACCUACCAACAGCCACAGGAGUGGAGCUUGGAAGCAGAACGUUCUUCAGUUAAGCCUUCAGAUGAGACUGCAGUCCCUCUGGACGGUUUGACUAUAACUUCAUGAGAGACUUUGAGUCCAAACCACCCAACCAUGAUGGCCCCAAAUUUCUGACCCAUAGAAAUUGUGAGAUAUUUGUUGUAAUUUUCUUUUUUUUUUUUAAUUUUUUUUUAACGUUUAUUUAUUUUUGAGACAGAGAGAGACAGAGCAUGAACAGGGGAGGGUCAGAGAGAGGGAGACACAGAAUCUGAAACAGGCUCCAGGCUCUGAGCUGUCAGCACAGAGCCCGACACAGGGAUCGAACUCACGGACCGCGAGAUCAUGACCUGGGCCGAAGUCAGCCGCUUAACCGACUGAGCCACCCAGGCGCCCCUGUUGUGUUAAUUUUCUAAGUUUGGGGGGUAAUUUGUUAUGCAGAAAUAGACAAAUAAUUCAUCAGAUCACUGAAAAUGAGGGGGAAAUAAUGAGAAAGGUUUCCAGGUCCUAGCAUGGUUGGAUGACUUUCUCCAGCAGCCCUCGACAACUCCACACGAUGUGCUCAUCCACUUUGUAUACCACCGAUACUAUGCAAUGUCCAACAGUAUCUUUUUCCCCCAAUGAUAUCUUUUGAUAAAGGAAUUUUGCCAAAAGCUUA
This is a long non-coding RNA of Leopardus geoffroyi (Geoffroy's cat), 1733 nucleotides long. RefSeq lists it as uncharacterized. The transcript has 5 exons. Lineage: Eukaryota; Metazoa; Chordata; Mammalia; Carnivora; Felidae. The record is from RefSeq and is a predicted model, not a curated record.